RNAcentral lists this transfer RNA (73 nucleotides) under Danionella translucida. It matches the Rfam family "tRNA". From Rfam's summary of the family: Transfer RNA (tRNA) molecules are approximately 80 nucleotides in length. Their secondary structure includes four short double-helical elements and three loops (D, anti-codon, and T loops). The record is from Rfam by way of RNAcentral. RNAcentral also lists the same sequence under 1 other name. Lineage: Eukaryota; Metazoa; Chordata; Actinopteri; Cypriniformes; Danionidae.
GACCUUGUGGCCUAACGGAUAAGGUGUCUGACUUCGGAUCAGAAGAUUGCAGGUUCGAGUCCUGUCAGGGUCG